Molecule: non-coding RNA, 834 nt
Filed under: Enterospora canceri
Lineage: Eukaryota; Fungi; Microsporidia; Enterocytozoonidae
Description: Microsporidia small subunit ribosomal RNA
Rfam family: Microsporidia small subunit ribosomal RNA
Source: Rfam by way of RNAcentral
AUUAGGUUGACUCUGCCUACCGGGGAUGCUAGUCUUUAAGAUCAAGCCACUCUAAAUGAGCCUGUAAGGGAGAACAACUCACUAAUUUCUCUAUAUGAUAAGAAUAGCCACGGUAGCCUCUUUGGCCAAUAGUGUAGAAUAUGGCUCAAUCCUACCAGUUUGUUGGUAGUGUAAAGGACUACAAAAACUAUGAUGAUAUUUUACUUAGGGGUUGAGUGUAAAGAAUUCUACGUGAAUUAUAUGGUGGGUGCUGCAGUUAAAGGGUCCGUAGUCGUAGAUGCAAUUAAAGGGUGGUGCUCAAGACCAUUAAGUUUGUUGUUUUUAGCGGAACGGAUAGGGAGCGUGGUAUAAGCGGGCCAAAAAUGAAAUCUCAAGACCCCGCCUGGACAACUGAGGCGAAAGCGACGCUCUUAGACGUAUCUAAGGAUCAAGGAUCAAGGCUAAAUUAUCGAAAGUGAUUACACACCGCUGUAGUUCUAGCAGUAAACGAUGCCGACAGCUCAUGCUGUGAAAGUGGUGGCAAGAACAAACACAGUUUUCGGAUUAUGGGUAUAGUACACUCACAAGAGUGAAACUUAAAGCGAGAUUGACGGAAGAACAUUACCAGAAGUAGAUUGUACUGCUUAAUUUAACUCAACACUAAAAACCUUACCUGGCCCUAGUCAGUUGUAGAUUGUAAGCGUGAACCUGAUGGGUGACUUUUAGAAUAAAUGAUGUAACUAUUGAUAUCUUUUGAAUUUACUAUUUUGUUUUCUUGAACUGUUCCAUUGUUGUUUUCUGUUUACCUUUCUCUACUUCAUCCAACUUUGCUUUAUUCUGCCUAUACGAACAUUG